CAUGAAAGAACUUUGUAGAACUUUAUUUUUGUUUGUUUUGGAACAUAUUGGGGAAGAAAAAAAAAAUUAUGUAACUAUUUGGACUAAAAUCCUGGAAGAACAUGCACAAACCAUCACCUGAUGACAUCAAAUAAAACAUAAAGAUAGAAAGAAAAUGUAGGAAAACAGGAUAAUAAAAUAACAUGAAGAAUUCCAAGCAGCAGGCAAAAGACAUUUUAGCAGUAUUUGCAUUCCCAUUCAAUCAACUUUCAUGAUGAACAGGAGUUUUGUGUCAUAGUAACAAAAGGGUGAUUAUGACAAAGGCAAAGAAAACCAUACCUUUGGCAGUAAAUGGAGCCAGCAGCCAUUUUGCACAACCGUCAAACUCUCACAAGGAUCAUCAAAAAUAAAGAGUACAGGACAACUGGGGUUAAGGCAACUUGAGCCCUCUCUUAACGUUCACUCACAUGCCCAACUGCAGUGCUACAGUAACUGAUUCAACACACACAAACAAACACACACACCCAAAAAGGCAUGUGCAGUAUUUUGCACUCAAUUAAUUCUGUAAUACAGAACCGUUCAAAUCAGACUGUCUACAAUGACAAAGCCGACAAUGGGUAGUCAGCUCACAAGUCCAGAGAAUGUUCUGGAAAGCCUUCUAGUAGACAGUGUGGUAAAUUAUCCCACAACAGCAACACCACCUGACAGUGGUCCUGGAUCCAUUACAAUUCCUUGCAAAGACACGUCAGAUGCACCACCCCCGGGACCAAAUCUUAAGUUGCAUAACCUCAUUAUUUCAAACGGCAGCACACCUUCUUACGACCCCAAAACACACAGCAUUAUGCAGCACUGGGAUCGCCUUCUGCUUAUUCAUAGGUCCGUGUGACACUCAAACUCUGAGCCUGAAGGAAAUACCCAGCAACAAAGCAGAAAUGGGCCAUUUUGGUCCAAUCUCUUUCUCCAUUUGUGUAUUCAUAUUUGCUGACAGAUGAUGGUCUUCGUCAGCUCCAAGUAAAAGUUGAGUGCCCACAUAUAGGGUCCCUCUCAGCCUCACAAUAGAGGAAUAAUAACCGUUCAGUUAAGAAAAUGCACACACACACACACACACACACAAACAAACAAACAUACAUCCACACAAAUGCUGGUCUUUGUAUGAAAUACAAAUCAGAACAAAAAUCCAGCAUUUACAAGGAGCAAACAUUUAAAAAAAAAAAAAAAA
Clupea harengus (Atlantic herring) is the source of this 1198-nucleotide long non-coding RNA. Lineage: Eukaryota; Metazoa; Chordata; Actinopteri; Clupeiformes; Clupeidae. The record is from Ensembl.